RNAcentral lists this ribosomal RNA (458 nucleotides) under uncultured bacterium. Its description in RNAcentral is "bacterial SSU rRNA". It matches the Rfam family "Bacterial small subunit ribosomal RNA", at positions 8 to 466 of the family's 1533-position model. The record is from RNAcentral.
AGAGUUUGAUCCUGGCUCAGAAUCAACGCUGGCGGCAUGCCUAACACAUGCAAGUCGAGCGAGAAAGUGUAGCAAUACAUGAGUACAGCGGCGCACGGGUGAGUAACACGUGGAUAACCUGCCUCAAAGUGGGGAAUAACACCGGGAAACCGGUGCUAAUACCGCAUAUUCUGUCGAGAUCUGUGGAUUUCGUCAGGAAAGGAGCAAUUCGCUAUGAGAGGGGUCCGCGGCUGAUUAGCUAGUUGGUGAGGUAAUGGCUCACCAAGGCUUUGAUCAGUAGCCGGUCUGAGAGGACGGUCGGCCACACUGGAACUGAGACACGGUCCAGACUCCUACGGGAGGCAGCAGUGGGGAAUUUUUCGCAAUGGGGGCAACCCUGACGAAGCAAUGCCGCGUGGAUGAUGAAGUAUCUCGGUACGUAAAAUCCUUUCGACGGGGACGAAGCCGCAAGGUUGACG